GACGAACGCUGGCGGCGUGCUUAACACAUGCAAGUCGAACGGAAAGGCCCUGCUUUUGUGGGGUGCUCGAGUGGCGAACGGGUGAGUAACACGUGAGUAACCUGCCCUUGACUUUGGGAUAACUUCAGAAAACUGGGGCUAAUACCGGAUAGGAGCUCCUGCUGCAUGGUGGGGGUUGGAAAGUUUCGGCGGUUGGGGACGGACUCGCGGCUUAUCAGCUUGUUGGUGGGGUAGUGGCUUACCAAGGCUUUGACGGGUAGCCGGCCUGAGAGGGUGACCGGCCACAUUGGGACUGAGAUACGGCCCAGACUCCUACGGGAGGCAGCAGUGGGGAAUAUUGCACAAUGGGCGGAAGCCUGAUGCAGCAACGCCGCGUGCGGGAUGACGGCCUUCGGGUUGUAAACCGCUUUCGCCUGUGACGAAGCGUGAGUGACGGUAAUGGGUAAAGAAGCACCGGCUAACUACGUG
This 468-nucleotide ribosomal RNA is filed under the name uncultured bacterium. RNAcentral's name for it is "partial 16S ribosomal RNA". It matches the Rfam family "Bacterial small subunit ribosomal RNA", at positions 28 to 507 of the family's 1533-position model. The record is from RNAcentral.